This 401-nucleotide ribosomal RNA is filed under the name uncultured Erysipelothrix sp. Its description in RNAcentral is "bacterial LSU rRNA". It matches the Rfam family "Bacterial large subunit ribosomal RNA", at positions 795 to 1193 of the family's 2925-position model. The record is from RNAcentral. Lineage: Bacteria; Bacillati; Bacillota; Erysipelotrichia; Erysipelotrichales; Erysipelotrichaceae.
AGUGCUUGGAUGACUUGUGGCUAGGGGUGAAAUUCCAAUCGAACACGGAUAUAGCUGGUUCUCUCCGAAAUAGCUUUAGGGCUAGCCUCGAUGGCAAGUCUACUGGAGGUAGAGCACUGAAUGGGUGAUGGCCCCACCUCGGGGUACUGAUCUCAAUCAAACUCCGAAUGCCAGAUAGAUAUCAUCGGGAGUCAGACUGUGGGUGAUAAGGUCCAUGGUCAAAAGGGAAAGAGCCCAGACCGCCAGCUAAGGCCCCCAAGUGUCCGUUAAGUGGAAAAGGAUGUGGAGAUGCACAGACAACUAGGAGGUUGGCUUAGAAGCAGCCAUCCUUUAAAGAGUGCGUAAUAGCUCACUAGUCGAGUGACUCUGCGCCGAAAAUGUACCGGGUGUCGACGCGGCCG